Molecule: long non-coding RNA, 271 nt
Filed under: Homo sapiens (human)
Lineage: Eukaryota; Metazoa; Chordata; Mammalia; Primates; Hominidae
Description: non-protein coding lnc-C16orf95-2:22
Source: RNAcentral
AAGGUGAGACCAGAGUGCCAGGGCACAGGCACAGCAGGGGUGGACAGUCUGGAGGUGACAGGUGGGGGCAUUCCGGCCACUUAAUCCAGUUAGGGUGGCUGGGUCGUGGCAUGGGCAGCCAAGAGCACUGGAGGAUGAAGCGGAUGGCAGAGAGCAUGGGAGGCUUUGGGAGGCUGUCAGGGCUUCACAUUUGUGUGGCUAAAUCCUGCACCACAGCCAGGUUCAGGGCAUAUUCGAGAAGGCCAUGAAGGCUUGGGUCCCCUGGCCGUGU